This 490-nucleotide ribosomal RNA is filed under the name Escherichia coli. RNAcentral describes it as "bacterial SSU rRNA". It matches the Rfam family "Bacterial small subunit ribosomal RNA", at positions 1 to 480 of the family's 1533-position model. The record is from RNAcentral. Lineage: Bacteria; Pseudomonadati; Pseudomonadota; Gammaproteobacteria; Enterobacterales; Enterobacteriaceae.
AAAUUGAAGAGUUUGAUCAUGGCUCAGAUUGAACGCUGGCGGCAGGCCUAACACAUGCAAGUCGAACGGUAACAGGAAACAGCUUGCUGUUUCGCUGACGAGUGGCGGACGGGUGAGUAAUGUCUGGGAAACUGCCUGAUGGAGGGGGAUAACUACUGGAAACGGUAGCUAAUACCGCAUAACGUCGCAAGACCAAAGAGGGGGACCUUCGGGCCUCUUGCCAUCGGAUGUGCCCAGAUGGGAUUAGCUUGUUGGUGGGGUAACGGCUCACCAAGGCGACGAUCCCUAGCUGGUCUGAGAGGAUGACCAGCCACACUGGAACUGAGACACGGUCCAGACUCCUACGGGAGGCAGCAGUGGGGAAUAUUGCACAAUGGGCGCAAGCCUGAUGCAGCCAUGCCGCGUGUAUGAAGAAGGCCUUCGGGUUGUAAAGUACUUUCAGCGGGGAGGAAGGGAGUAAAGUUAAUACCUUUGCUCAUUGACGUUACCC